UGUCAAUAUACAUUCACACAUCUUAUCCGCUGCCCCCCCCUCUCAAGAUUGAAGAGAAGAAGAAAAAUGAGUAAUUGAAACAAUGGUACAUUUAUUCCUUUCUCAUCUUCUCUCUGUGACUUACGUUACUACGUUAUUGUCCUCCAUCUGC
Molecule: non-coding RNA, 151 nt
Filed under: Paraphysomonas imperforata
Lineage: Eukaryota; Chrysophyceae; Chromulinales; Paraphysomonadaceae
Source: RNAcentral